AAUCAACGCUGGCGGCGUGCCUCAGACAUGCAAGUCGAACGCGAAAGUUCCCUUCGGGGAGCGAGUAGAGUGGCGCACGGGUGAGUAACACGUGGGUAAUUUGCCUUCGGGUGGGGAAUAACAGUCGGAACGACUGCUAAUACCGCAUGAUGCAGCGGCGCCAACAUGGUGACAGUUGUUAAAGCGGGGGAUCGCAAGACCU
This 202-nucleotide ribosomal RNA is filed under the name uncultured bacterium. Its description in RNAcentral is "partial 16S ribosomal RNA". It matches the Rfam family "Bacterial small subunit ribosomal RNA", at positions 32 to 213 of the family's 1533-position model. The record is from RNAcentral.